Molecule: long non-coding RNA, 2521 nt
Organism: Gasterosteus aculeatus aculeatus (three-spined stickleback)
Lineage: Eukaryota; Metazoa; Chordata; Actinopteri; Perciformes; Gasterosteidae
Source: Ensembl
GGUUCAACCAAGGAAGUGGACCCACCGGCCCUUCUACACCCCCCCCCCCCUCCUACUAGGGAACGUCUCCAAACUAUCCGUCUCGGAACACCGGGCUUGAGAAUAUUGUCCUUGUAACAUCCUGCCUCGCUGAGGCAGCACGGCGGGUCGUGAACCGUUCAGAUUGGACGUGUGGAUGAGCCUCUGUCUCGCUGGGGGGUCUGUGGUCUCUUUACCUGUGUCCGUCAUGGCUCCCCCACCUUAGUUGAUGGAGAAAGUGACGUUCCACCCCAGACAGUAAAAAAAUGUAACUUUUAAUUUUGGCUUUUAUUUAAGGCGCCUCACACGGCCGGCGUCGCUGUUUUCCUCUUUGUACAUAAAUGAAUCAUAUUUUAUUUUGCUUUUAUUGUGAUUUUUUUUUUUGUUCUCCAGAAGUGAUCUUGUCGUGAAUUCCUGUUCGCAUGUGACGUAUUUCUGGUGUCCGUGUGUUUAUACCAGCUGAUGCUGAACACUGCGCUGGAAUCAUUAAAGGGACGUUUCACUUCGCUUUGACGUGUUGUGAAGUCGAUGUUCGUUUCCUGUACACACAAGCCCCGCCUCCUGCCAGGAGUCAUGGGCCCCUUCUCGAUAAACAUUGGUCAUGGAAAAGUCAUGUUAGGUCAAAUAUUUUAAAGAAAAAUUCGAUAUGUAAUGUCAGUCAUUUCUAUGGAUGUCAUGGAAAAGUGAAAUCUUGCAACAUAAAAUAUUUUGAAUAGAAAGUCAAUGUAAGGUGGAAAAUGCAUGGACGAAGUCAAAUUAGGUAAAAAAAGUCCAAAUACUUAUUGUUAAUGUCAUGGGGGAAAAAAGUCAAACUUUAGGUACUUUUAGAAAUCUGAAAUAUUUUUUAAAAGUCAAACUACGUAAGGUGAUUUAAAAAGAAAACUGUAAUAUGGAGAAGAAACGGUCAAAUAUUAAGUUGUAAAAAUGUCAUGGGACGAACAUUUUGUCAAUUGUUUUAGAAAGUUAAAAUAUGUCAUGGAAAAUAUUAGGUCAAAGAUUAUUGGGUCAAACUAAGGUAUAAAUGACAAUGUAUUAAGGGGAAUGAUGUUUUGAAAAAAUAUGUAAAAAUUUAGUAAAAUGUUUUUUAAAAAGUCCAAAUAUGUAAUAUGUGUUUUAUUGAACAUUCAAAAUACGUUCUGUCUAAAGUAAUUGAAAAAAAUAUUGGGUAAAUUGAAAAACAAAUGUAAUAAUUUCAUGUCCAAAAUAGUUUAAACAAAAGUCAUAGUGUAGUAUAUCAAAAACAAGUCAUAGUUUAGUUGGUCAAAAAAGUCAUAGUGUGUUUUAUGUGAAUUCACAGGACAGCUGGUGAGUGGGACAGACGGGAUCCGGGUUACGACAGCAACGCAGCGUCGUGGUGGGGUUAAAGGUCAGGUGGUUGGAACGUGUGAUUAAAGGUGUGCAGCCAAAUAAGAGUUUCUAACUCUGUUCAUCCUCUGGGAAAUGAUCAUGAAUCAUUUCUUUAAAAAUGUACAAUGUGGUUAAAGCUAAAAAGAAAAGAAAAGUCAUAAUACAGUAUGUCAAAAAAAGUAAUUUUACAAUAAUUCUAAAAAAGUCCUGAAAAAGUCAUAAUGUAUUACAUAAUAUAUUCUAUUACUCUUCAGGACAAAAAACAACAAAAGAAGUAAACCCAGAUGUUUAAAAGAUGAAUAUUUCACAUGCAGGAAAUGAGGUGUCGUGCAGUUCCCCUCUGGUCCUCUGGGUGGCGCUGUGGCUCCUCCCCCUGCGCUCUGUGACGACACGCGGACUGUUUCCAUCUCUGGGAAGAGCGACAGUGUUUUAAUGAGUCCUGCCUUACAUAUUCACAUUAUUCAUUCUACUGCAGGAGGAGGCUUCUUCUUCUCCGUGGAGUAAAAUACUUUAGAUAAGCAUUAUUGUGUAAUGAUCCAUGUAAACAAAUCAGAUGUUUGCUGGUAAAAUAUAAAACAGAACAAAUAAACAAUCACUUGAAGAAAAAUAGUUUGAAGGAACAAAUUCGAGGAUAAAACCUGCAGUCUUGUAUCUUCUUCAUCAUCUCCUGAACCUUCCUCAUAUCAUACAAAUGAACAAACACCAAACAAGCUCUUCUGCUGCCACACAAAACAGUUAAUAACAAUAACAAUAACCUUCCUUCACUUCUGUUCCCUGCAGACUGAGACAUAAACUCAUGUUUACAAUGUUUACUGAGGGAAUAAAUCCAGAGAGAAGUAGAGUCAUUUCCUCAUAGACGUCUAUGGGAGCAGAGGAGUCGCCCCCUGCUGGUCACUACAGAGAAGUAGAGUCAUUUCCUCAUAGACGUCUAUGGGAGCAGAGGAGUCACCCCCUGCUGGUCACUACAGAGAAGUAGAGUCAUUUCCUCAUAGACGUCUAUGGGAGCAGAGGAGUCGCCCCCUGCUGGUCACUACAGAGAAGUAGAGUCAUUUCCUCAUAGACGUCUAUGGGAGCAGAGGAGUCGCCCCCUGCUGGUCACUACAGAGAAGUAGAGUCAUUUCCUCAUAGACGUCUAUGGGAGCAGAGGAGUCGCCCC